RNAcentral lists this ribosomal RNA (460 nucleotides) under uncultured bacterium. RNAcentral's name for it is "partial 16S ribosomal RNA". It matches the Rfam family "Bacterial small subunit ribosomal RNA", at positions 338 to 795 of the family's 1533-position model. The record is from RNAcentral.
CCUACGGGGGGCAGCAGUGAGGAAUAUUGGUCAAUGGCCGCGAGCCUGAACCAGCCAAGUCGCGUGAAGGAUGAAUGCCCUACGGGUUGUAAACUUCUUUUAUAAGGGAAUAAAGUGAGGCACGUGUGCCUUUUUGUAUGUACCUUAUGAAUAAGCAUCGGCUAACUCCGUGCCAGCAGCCGCGGUAAUACGGAGGAUGCGAGCGUUAUCCGGAUUUAUUGGGUUUAAAGGGUGCGUAGAUGGGUUGUUAAGUCAGUUGUGAAAGUUUGCGGCUCAACCGUAAAAUUGCAGUUGAUACUGGAAGUCGUGAGUACGGUUGAGGUAGGCGGAAUGCGUGGUGUAGCGGUGAAAUGCAUAGAUAUCACGAAGAACUCCGAUUGCGAAGGCAGCUUACUAAACUGCCACUGACAUUGAAGCUCGAAAGUGUGGGUAUCAAACAGGAUUAGAUACCCUAGUAGUC